This 450-nucleotide ribosomal RNA is filed under the name uncultured bacterium. Its description in RNAcentral is "partial 16S ribosomal RNA". It matches the Rfam family "Bacterial small subunit ribosomal RNA", at positions 354 to 796 of the family's 1533-position model. The record is from RNAcentral.
GUGGGGAAUAUUGGACAAUGGGCGAAAGCCUGAUCCAGCCAUGCCGCGUGUGUGAAGAAGGUCUUCGGAUUGUAAAGCACUUUAAGUUGGGAGGAAGGGCAGUAAGUUAAUACCUUGCUGUUUUGACGUUACCGACAGAAUAAGCACCGGCUAACUUCGUGCCAGCAGCCGCGGUAAUACGAAGGGUGCAAGCGUUAAUCGGAAUUACUGGGCGUAAAGCGCGCGUAGGUGGUUUUGUAAGUUGGAGGUGAAAUCCCCGGGCUCAACCUGGGAACUGCCUCCAAAACUGCAUGACUAGAGUACGGUAGAGGGUAGUGGAAGUUCCUGUGUAGCGGUGAAAUGCGUAGAUAUAGGAAGGAACACCAGUGGCGAAGGCGACUACCUGGACUGAUACUGACACUGAGGUGCGAAAGCGUGGGGAGCAAACAGGAUUAGAUACCCCGGUAGUCC